Long non-coding RNA from Vespula pensylvanica (western yellowjacket), 1383 nucleotides. RefSeq lists it as uncharacterized. The transcript has 2 exons. Lineage: Eukaryota; Metazoa; Arthropoda; Insecta; Hymenoptera; Vespidae. The record is from RefSeq and is a predicted model, not a curated record.
UUCUUUUAUUUAUAUUUUUUAAAUUUAUAUGCGUAUAAUUUAAUUACAUGAUGGAAAUAAAAUAACAAGAAUUUUAUGCUGUUACAUCUUUGAUUUUCAUCAUGUUAUUCGAGAAAAAAGCAGUCUUUACAAUUGCAAAUUAAAACUUAUUAAUAGCAGAUGCACAUUUUUAUAAAUAAUUAUCCGUAUCAAUUCUAUCAUAAAUAUUUCAUUUUCCAGCAUUGUUCAUAUUUUUUGGAAGACCCAAUAAAGUGUUAAUAAUCUCGGAAUUACGUUUUGGAUAGCAAAGCCGUGGCGAUGCCAUUAGCAGUCUAGCAAGUUGCAAUUCGUUGUCCUGGAAAAAAAGUCGAUUUUAAGUAUUAUUUUUUGUUAAGACAUACAAUUUUAUAAUUCAUUACUAUUCAUAAAUCAUGUUUAUGUAUUGUUCCUUAAUAUCAGUAAUUUAAAUUCAUUCCAUAGAACUGAUACUCCGACGUAAUUUGUUAAUUAAUUAAGUAUAUAAUCGAAGAGAAAAAAAUUUUACCAAUCCUCUUCCAUAAGGAACGUUCAUCGAGAAGACGUUCCUAUCUGUAUCAUCCAUGCUGGCAAAUAUCUGAUAGAUAGUUCCAACCAUAAGAAUGAGAAUGUAUAAGAACUUCAUUUUGAUGUUGAUUUCGAUCUUUCUACUGCAAAAAAACAAGAAGAAUUUGUAUACGUACAUUUAUAGGAUAAACGAAAAUUUUCGCAAAAUUUUUAUUUCUUUUUUAACGCUAUAAUGCGGAAGACGGAAAAUCCCGUUUUACUUCAUCCAUAUUUCUGGAAGUUAAGACAAUUUUAGACUCAUAAAACUUCCUGAAUUAAAUGCGACUUCAAAUAUUAUGUAAUUUUUAUUGGUGUCAAGUGCACUGUAGGAAAUCACCAAAAAUAGCCCAUGCCACGUAAAUUAAUGUGUGAAAAAUUAUACCGCAUAUAAGGUGUUAAUUAGUUAAAAAAAAAAAAAGAUAAAAAUAAUAAUCUUUUAAAUAAUAUCAAUUAAAUCAAGUGAUUUUAAUAAUUUAAAGAUUUUUCGGAAUAACAUUUUAGAAGCUUCAUAUAAAAUAUUAAAACUGAUCCUUACCUUUUUAUAUUCUUAGAAACUUAGAAUUUUCUACUGCAAAUCUAGAACUGCCGCAAGUACAUUGCCCAAGGAAUAAGAAGACAAGUCUCCUGUUUCUGAACAACGAAGACGUCUUUUUACGUGAAUGCGCGAAUGCGUUAAAGCGCCUUUAAUUUCUUUCUUUCGUAUGCAGAAGAUAAAUAUGACAGAUUAUAGAAAUAGAUUUAUUAUUUCGAUGAGGUAACUAAAUUAACUUACUCAUUGAUGUAAACAUUUUGUAUAAUACAUAUAUAAUUGCAGUUUUUUAA